Molecule: long non-coding RNA, 1002 nt
Organism: Spinacia oleracea (spinach)
Lineage: Eukaryota; Viridiplantae; Streptophyta; Magnoliopsida; Caryophyllales; Amaranthaceae
Exons: 4
Source: RefSeq, a predicted model, not a curated record
AGAAUUUAUGAAGUUUAGUAAUAAAUAUAUAUUUAACGUAAUUUAUUUUUAUACGUUCUAAAUAUUUCAACGAUUUAUGAAAUCAAAAAAAUAAUUUUAGAAUUUUAUGUUGAAAAGAAUUUGAAUUGCGAAAACACGUUCGAUUGAAUUUGGAAAACAAUAUUAACUGGUUUUGGAUUCAAACAAACUCAAUUCUAAUCCUAGCCCAAAUUGACAAAGCCCAAAACAAGAAAACCCAUAUUAUCAACCCAUAAUUCAACUUCACGUAAAAUCAAGAAAGCCAAAAACCCUCUUCUCUCCUCUCCUCCAAUUCACGUGAAAAGCAAGCAAACUCUCUCUCUGCUUCAGCCACCGCCGCCCUCCUUGCUGUUGUCCCUCACGCCGCCGGCCAACCACCUCAGACGCUCCUCCUCCGUCGCGUGCAACCUUCCUCGCCGCCACCUGCACCCCGUCGCUGCCGCCAACCAACCAGCACCGGUCGUUGGCCCCUUCCCUUCUCCUUCGCGAAGCAUCAACACUCCUCCUUUUCUUUCUCCUCUGCGUGCGUUUCCUCCUGCUUGCACCACCAGCCACCUUCGGUCACCCUGCUGCGCCACCACCCAUCGCCGCGCUGCCACUGUGGCAUCGCCGUGCUGCUGCACCAACCGCCGUCAGCUCUUCCUCCCUUCACUUUUUGGCGGAGAAUUCUCUUUAGGCGACUUUUGAAAGUGUUAAAGUGGCCUAUUAGUUGUUUAUGCAAGUCUCUAAGGAUCAAUAAGCGUUGCCCAUCUACAGGUUUGAAGAUGAUGCACCAUUGGGAUCGGGAUUAGAGAGCUUGUUGUUCUAUUUGUUUACUUGAGUGAUUUAAUUUGUUAACUUGGAUUUGAAAUUUGUCGUACUAUUCGUAUUUCCUUAUUUCAGUUAAUUGGUUUGGACCUAAUAUGUAAUAGAUUAUUUAUGAACCUAAAAGUUAGUUUUAUGUUUUCCGCUGCAAAAUUCUGAAUAAGCCGUUACGUUUUUACA